Molecule: ribosomal RNA, 1974 nt
Filed under: human gut metagenome
Description: bacterial LSU rRNA
Rfam family: Bacterial large subunit ribosomal RNA
Source: RNAcentral
GAAAGUAAUAAAGGGCGUAUGGGGGAUGCCUAGGCUCUUGGAGGCGAAGAAAGACGUGGUAAGCUGCGAUAAGCCUCGGGGAUUUGCAAACGAGAAUUGAUCCGAGGAUUUCUGAAUGGGACAACCCGGCAGGCAGAAGGCCUGUCACACGAAAGUGGGCCAACCCUCUGAACUGAAACAUCUUAGUAGGAGGAGGAAAAGAAAGAAACAUCGAUUUCCUAAGUAGCGGCGAGCGAACGGGAAACAGCCUAAACCACAAUUGUUACGGCAACUGUGGGGUUGUAGGACUGCAAUAUUCAAAUGACUGUGAACUGGAAUGUUCUGGAAAGUUCAUCCAUAGAGAGUGAAAGACUCGUACAGGCAAGCACGUCAGGCGAUAGCAGUAUCCUGAGUAGGGCGGGACACGAGGAAUCCUGUCUGAAUCCGCCGGGACCACCCGGUAAGGCUAAAUACUCCCAAGAGACCGAUAGUGAACCAGUACCGUGAGGGAAAGGUGAAAAGAACCCCGAACAGGGGAGUGAAAUAGAACCUGAAACCAUACGCUUACAACCUGUCGGAGCGGCUUCGUGCCGUGACGGCGUGCCUAUUGAAUAAUGAGCCUACGAGUUACUAAUCACUGGCAAGGUUAAGUGCACGGAUGCACGGAGCCGAAGCGAAAGCGAGUCUGAAUAGGGCGUUUAGUCAGUGGUUGUAGACGCGAAACCUUGCGAUCUACCCUUGAGCAGGUUGAAGGUUGGGUAAAACCAACUGGAGGACCGAACGAAUAAGCGUUGAAAAGCUUCUCGAUGACUUGAGGGUAGGGGUGAAAGGCUAAUCAAGCUGGGAAAUAGCUCGUACUCCCCGAAAUGCCUUUAGGGGCAGCGUUGUAAUUGAGAGUCUACUGGAGGUAGAGCUACUGAUUGGAUGCGGGGGCUUCACCGCCUACCAAAUCCUGACAAACUCCGAAUGCCAGUAGUAUGAUUUACAGCAGUGAGCGACCGGGUGCUAAUGUCCGGUUACGAGAGUGGAACAACACAGACCAGCAACUAAGGUCCCCAAGAGUAUACUAAGUUGAUCUAACGAUGUUUUGCUGCAGAGACAGCUAGGAUGUUAGCUUGGAAGCAGCUAUUCAUUCAAAGAGUGCGUAACAGCUCACUAGUCGAGCGGCAAAGCGUGGAUAAUAAACGGGCAUCAAGUAUACCACCGAAGUUCUGGGCACGAAAGUGCGGUAGGGGAGCAUUCCAUUCCGCGUUGAAGCCGAACCGUGAGGUUUGGUGGAGUGUAUGGAAAAGCAAAUGUAGGCAUGAGUAACGAUAAUGCGGGAGAGUAACCCGCACACCGCAAGACCAAGGUUUCCUGAUCAACGCUAAUCGGAUCAGGGUUAGUCGGGUCCUAAGGGUAAGCCGAACGGUGAUCUCGAUGGAUAAUCGGUUAAUAUUCCGAUACUGACAUAUACCUCGAUGGAGAGACGAAGGAACGUAAGUGCCGCCACCUGACGGAAUAGGUGGUUAAAGGGCUUAGGUAUAGGGGCAGAUUAAGAGUUAGUCCUUGCUGAAACCUGACAGUACAGAGAGCCUACGGGCAAUUUGAUAGUGCACCCAAGUCGACUUCCGAGAAAAUCUUCUAAGUUAUAGUAUAUGUCACCCGUACCGUAAACCGACACAGGUGGUCGAGGAGAGUAUCCUAAGGUGCUCGAGUGAAUCACGGUUAAGGAACUAGGCAAAUUAACCCCGUAACUUCGGGAAAAGGGGUCCCAUCGCGAGGUGGGCGCAGCGAAGAGGUCCAGGCGACUGUUUAUCAAAAACACAGGGCUCUGCAAAUUCGAAAGAAGACGUAUAGGGCCUGACACCUGCCCGGUGCUGGAAGGUUAAGAGGGGAUGUCAUCGCAAGAGAAGCAUUGAAUCGAAGCCCCAGUAAACGGCGGCCGUAACUAUAACGGUCCUAAGGUAGCGAAAUUCCUUGUCGGGUAAGUUCCGACCUGCACGAAUGGUGUAA